Molecule: ribosomal RNA, 500 nt
Filed under: Vibrio splendidus
Lineage: Bacteria; Pseudomonadati; Pseudomonadota; Gammaproteobacteria; Vibrionales; Vibrionaceae
Description: bacterial SSU rRNA
Rfam family: Bacterial small subunit ribosomal RNA
Source: RNAcentral
GGACGGGUGAGUAAUGCCUAGGAAAUUGCCUUGAUGUGGGGGAUAACCAUUGGAAACGAUGGCUAAUACCGCAUAAUGCCUACGGGCCAAAGAGGGGGACCUUCGGGCCUCUCGCGUCAAGAUAUGCCUAGGUGGGAUUAGCUAGUUGGUGAGGUAAUGGCUCACCAAGGCGACGAUCCCUAGCUGGUCUGAGAGGAUGAUCAGCCACACUGGAACUGAGACACGGUCCAGACUCCUACGGGAGGCAGCAGUGGGGAAUAUUGCACAAUGGGCGAAAGCCUGAUGCAGCCAUGCCGCGUGUAUGAAGAAGGCCUUCGGGUUGUAAAGUACUUUCAGUUGUGAGGAAGGGUGUGUAGUUAAUAGCUGCACAUCUUGACGUUAGCAACAGAAGAAGCACCGGCUAACUCCGUGCCAGCAGCCGCGGUAAUACGGAGGGUGCGAGCGUUAAUCGGAAUUACUGGGCGUAAAGCGCAUGCAGGUGGUUCAUUAAGUCAGAUGUG